This is a long non-coding RNA of Eubalaena glacialis (North Atlantic right whale), 821 nucleotides long. RefSeq lists it as uncharacterized. NCBI's taxonomy places the organism in Eukaryota, Metazoa, Chordata, Mammalia, Artiodactyla, Balaenidae. The record is from RefSeq and is a predicted model, not a curated record. The transcript has 3 exons.
UCCAGGACUUCCACUGAUGGCUUCAGCCCUCACACCCCCAGGCCAGGAGCCAGCAGGACAUCCCAGGCACCACAGCAGGAUCCAUCUGGGGUCCACAGGGCCCCAGCAGAGAGCUGACACCUGCUUGCCAUCAUGGAGGAGCCUGCCAUCAAGAGGCACCUGAAGAUGAUUCAACUCAAUGCUUCAGUCUAUGAAGAUGUGGCUGGGUGUCUUCCAGUGCAGGAAUAUGUCUAUAUACACACCACUGUCAUAUCAAGUUCAAGGCCCUCAGGGUGCCUACAAGAAGGCCCACAUGGUAUUCUGUGCUCUGGGCCAGCCCCUCAGGACUGCCCCUUCCAUGAAGAGAUGGAUUGGGUGCACCAGCCCAGCCAACCUCAGGGAGCAGACCCAGCCAUGGGAUCUUGACCACCACAACCAGCUGACCCAGGGAAGAAAAAAAAAGUCAUUAGCAGAAAGAUGGGCCAGAAGGGUGCUCUCCUCAGCCGCAGCAGCAGCAGAGGCACCAGAACUAGAGGUGGAAGACGGAGACAGAGCAUCAGUUUAAGCUAGAAGUGGAAGUGUUGGAGCUGCAAGUCGGAGUGACCUCCGACUUGAAAGCCCGGCUGGUACCCAGACCAACAAGACAACCGAGAUGGAGAUUAGCCAGGAUGCCUAAGAAAAUGGGCCAGAAGUCCAGAGGGGACCAGUCUCCAGACAGAAACCAGCCUCAGCGAGAAACUUCGUCAUCAGCUCCUGGGGUGUCUACAGUGCCCCCUAGAGCACAGGUGCCACCGAUGAACAGAAAAGACUGACCUAAAAUGCCUCGCUUUCCCUCCUCCCUG